Molecule: long non-coding RNA, 3722 nt
Organism: Oncorhynchus tshawytscha (Chinook salmon)
Lineage: Eukaryota; Metazoa; Chordata; Actinopteri; Salmoniformes; Salmonidae
Source: Ensembl
GUUGCCUCUUUUCUGGACAUUAUCAGCGCAGCAGACAAACUUUACCAGCUGCCUAGGAGCAAGAGGGCCCCAAUGUAUGAGAGAAUUUUGAGUAAAAUAUAGUGUGUAAUCUUUUUUGACCAUUAUCAUUACUUUACUCGUGGAGGAAGAUAUAGGGUACAUUUGAGACCAUAAUAAGUGAGAAGUCCAUACAGGGCGUCAAAGGUUUGCCCCCUGCGUGCGACACAGGAAUAAUGGACAUCGCAACCACUGCAGAUGCAGCCACUGCCAAACCUGAACCCACUGCUAUGGAGGAGUCAGAUCCGCAAGAGCCCCAAGAGCCCCAAGAGCCCCGCACAUCGGAGAAGAUCGACUUGUCACUAGAUGACAUCAUCAAACUGAACAAAAAAGAGAACAAGGCCAAUAAGGCUGCCAACAAGGCUCGGGACCGACGCACCACAAGCAAAAACACUGUCCUCAAGAAGCUGGACAGGGCAGGACAACAGCAGACAUUUCCUUUCAGACGUGGCCCGUAUCAAUUCCAGCAAGGACCCUACAAAUCACGUUACAUGGGACCCCCCAUUCCUGGCUAUUACAGAGUAAAGCCAUAUCUCAGAAAGACUUCUUUUGGAGCACAUCACCUCAAAGGUGUGAGCCCUUUAAAAAGACCUCCUUUGAACACAAAGGAAGGAGCACAGUUCGGAAAACGUAAACCGUUGUUCAAGGGUGCGUUUUAUCAACCAUACAGAGGUCCCCCAGGGGCUUUGAGAAGGCCUCCUCCACAAUUCAGAGGGCAGAAGAAGCCACCAUUCCAGCCCAAACAGAGACAGGGCGGUGUGAAGCCAUUCAUCCUAAACAGAGGGUUUCCUGUGGCAAAUGGAAAAAUGGAUAAGUACCAAAAGGUUAGAAGCUGGAAAAAGGCGCCCUCCGGUGUUUCUACCUUGACGGUGUCACUGCCCAACUCCAAAGCCAACUCAGAGCCCGCGGCCAAGGCUAAGCAGGCCACAGUGCUGGACCGAUCCAGUCCAUCAGGGGUGUCCCCCCAGCCCAAAGGCAUCCCUCUCAGAUUUAACUUCAAGGCCACUAUAAAUCAGACGGGAGUGACCCUCAAUGACCGCUUCACUGGUAUGAGGAUCUGGGCAGGCCUAGGACAGGGUCCACAGAGGGGCAGUGGCAGGGGAAGAGGCAGAGGCCGAGAAGGCCGGACUGUCAUCCUACAGUGAUCAUUGUUGAGGACCUGUGCUGUCUGUAGCCUAUAUAAAAAAAAACAUCUCAUUAAUCCCCCUGUUAACCCUUCCAUUAUGCUCACAUUUUGAAGACAUUUUAUAUUGAUGUUUAUUUUAGUAUGUAUGGCACGCAUUUAGUUACUUCUUGUUUACAAAAUGUUUGGACCUUGGAAAAAGUCUAGACAUUCAAUGAAUUAAAUGACAAGUGAUAAAGAGCUGAAGUGACAGGCUACACAGAUAAAUAUACUCUUCAUAUAGACGGUAGAACACAUUUAUUUUGGGAACCAUCAUGUGAAGUUAGGACAGUGAUCUCAGCCUGUUACCCAAAGUAUUUUUAGCUCUUGUUAAUGGGGUUGGCAUGUACAGUGCCUUCGGAAAGUAUUCAGACCCCUUGACUUUUCCCACAUUUUGUUAGGUUAUACAGCCUUAUUCUAAAAUUGAUAACAAACAAAACAAUCCUCAUUGAUCUACACACAAUAUCCCAUAAUGACAAAGCAAAAACUGUUUUUUAGAAUUGUUUGCUAAUUUAUCAAAAAUAAAAAAAUAUCACAUUUACAUAAGUAUUCCGAACUUUUACUCAGUACUUUGUUGAAGCACCUUUGGCAGCGAUUACAGCCUCGAGUCUUCUUUAGUAUGACACAAGCUUGGCACACCUGUAUUUGGGGAGUUUAUCACCAUUCUUCUCUGAAGAUCCUCUCAAACUCUGUCAGGUUGGAUGGGGUGUGUUGUUGCACAGCUAUUUUCAGGUCUCUCCAGAUAUGUUCGAUCGGAUUCAAGUCCGGGCUCUGGUUGGGCCUCUCAAGGACAUUCAGAGACUUGUCCUUAAGCCACACCUGCAUUGUCCUGGCUGUGUGCCAAGGGUCAUUGUCCUGUUGGAAGGUCAACCUCACCCCAGUCUAAGGUCCUGAGCACUCUGUAGCAGGUUUUCAUCAAGGAUCUCUCUGUACUUUGCUCCGUUGAUCUUUGCCUCGAUCCUGACUAGUCUCCCAGUCCCUGCUGCUGAAAAUCAUCUCCACAGCAUGAUACUGCCACCACCAUGCUUCACCGUAGGGAUGGUGCCAGGUUUCCUCCAGAUGUGACACUUGGCAAUCAGGUCAAAGAGUUCAAUAUUGGUUUCACCAGACCAGAGAAUCUUGUUUCUCAUGGUCUCAGAGUCUUUAGGUGCCUUUUGGCAAACUCCAUGCGGGCUGUCGUGUGCCUUUUACUGAGGAGUGGCUUCCAUCUGGCCACUCUACAUAAAGGCCUAAUUGGUGGAGUGCUGCAGAGAUGGUUGUCCUUCUGGAAGGUUCUCCCAUCUCCACAGAGGAACUCUAGAGCUCUGUCAGAGUGACCAUCGGGUCUUGGUCACCUCACUGACCAAGUAGUUUCUCCCCUGAUUGCUCAAUUUGUCCGGGAAGCCAGCUCUAGCAGGAGUUUUGGUGGUUCCAAACUUAUUCCAUUGAAGAAUGAUGGAGGCCACUGUGUUCUUGUGGAUCUUCAAUGCUGGUACCCUGUGACUCGGCACAAUCCUGUCUCUGAGCUCUACCGACAAUUCCUUCGACCUCAUGGCUUGGUUUUUGCUCUGACAUACACUGUCAACUGUGGGACCUUAUAUAGACAGGUGUGUGCCUUUCCAAAUCAUGUCCAAUCAAUUGAAUUUACCACAGGUGAACUCCAAUUAACUUGCAGAAACAUCUCAAGGAUGAUCAAUGGAAACAGGAUGCACCUCAUCUAAAUUUCGAGUCUCAUAGCAAAGGGUCUGAAUACUUAUGUAAAUAAGGUAUUUCUUAUUUUUUAAAUAUGUUUUCAAAGAUUUCUAAAAACCUGUUUUCGCUUUAUCCUUAUGGGGUAUUGUGUGUAGAUUGCUGAGGAAUUGUUUUUAUUUAAUCCAUUUUAGAAUAAGGCUGUAAUGUAACAAAAUGAGGAAAAAGUCAAGGGGUUUGAAUACUUACAGAAGGCACUGUAUAUGGAGGCCAUUUUACAUUAUGUUUACAGCAGUGCCUCUGGAAAUGUACUGAUAAAAUGUCAAACAUUAAUUUUAAUGAGACUAUGCAGUUGUAUGAAAUCAUGAGCAACUUGUGUAUUUCGAUUUUCUUGAUUACUCACUAUCGUUCAGUUGGUCACAUGAGUUGUAAAUUCACUUCGAAAUAUAGCAACUUAUUUAAAAACGUAAUAUUAAUGUUUCAUUUAUUUGGUAAUCAACACAUUUUCUAUACAUGUGGCCUACUUGUACUUACAUGUGUAUUGAGUAAAGAUCACACGUCCCAAAUGUUUUUGGGUUUACAAUAGAUUUAAUUAAAUAUAAUAGAUUUUAUAGCUAAAUAACAUUGCAUGUUUGUUAUGAUAUUAUGAUUUUAUUAUAGCCCACUGAAAGAGCCGACAACUCAGGUGUGGGGUCAACUAGAUAUCACAGCCACAAAGUAGCACAGGCUAUAGAGUAAACAUUUAUGAAAACAUACUUGUGCUUUUUGGUCUUAAUUUCAGGUUAGGCAUAAGAUUAAGAAGGUCAAUUGUGGAAAUGGGCGGAGUUUACGACUU